This 284-nucleotide long non-coding RNA is filed under the name Sorghum bicolor (sorghum). Its description in RNAcentral is "long non-coding RNA (SBIC_LNC013293)". Lineage: Eukaryota; Viridiplantae; Streptophyta; Magnoliopsida; Poales; Poaceae. The record is from RNAcentral.
GAUCUAAACCAGGCCUUGAUCUAUGGUGGAACAUGCGGCACUAUACUGCAAGGAAGGUAAAAAUGCAAUUGGAACAGGCAGCACUAUACUGCAAAGAAGGUAAAAUGUGUGCAUGAACAAAGAGGAAAUGGGAUUUGGAAAUGGAAUUAAGAAAUACCAGAGUGUACAACUGAAUAUCUGUUCAUACAGACAACUAGGCUAAUGUACAAGCUACUAUUAAGCUAAUGGUAAACUGAACGCAGAUCCUAGGGAACCUACAUCAGCAGCCAGCAGCUAGCAAAUCA